AGUGAACGCUGGCGGUAGGCCUAACACAUGCAAGUCGAACGGCAGCACAGUAAGAGCUUGCUCUUACGGGUGGCGAGUGUCGGACGGGUGAGGAAUACAUCGGAAUCUACUUUUUCGUGGGGGAUAACGUAGGGAAACUUACGCUAAUUCCGCAUACGACCUACGGGUGAAAGCAGGGGAUCUUCGGACCUUGCGCGAUUGAAUGAGCCGAUGUCGGAUUAGCUAGUUGGCGGGGUAAAGGCCCACCAAGGCGACGAUCCGUAGCUGGUCUGAGAGGAUGAUCAGCCACACUGGAACUGAGACACGGUACAGACUCCUACGGGAGGCAGCAGUGGGGAAUAUUGGACAAUGGGCGCAAGACUGAUCCAGCCAUACAGCGUGGGUGAAGAAGGCCUUCGGGUUGUAAAGCCCUUUUGUUGGGAAAGAAAAGCAGCAGGUUAAUACCACGCUGUUCUGACGGUACCCAAAGAAUAAGCACCGGCUAACUUCGUG
Molecule: ribosomal RNA, 492 nt
Filed under: uncultured bacterium
Lineage: Bacteria
Description: partial 16S ribosomal RNA
Rfam family: Bacterial small subunit ribosomal RNA
Source: RNAcentral